Small nuclear RNA from Zalophus californianus (California sea lion), 106 nucleotides. NCBI's taxonomy places the organism in Eukaryota, Metazoa, Chordata, Mammalia, Carnivora, Otariidae. The record is from Ensembl.
GUGCUCGUUUUGGCAGCACAUACACUAAAUUGGAACAAUACAGAGCAGAUUAGCAUGGCCCCUAUGCAAGGAUGACAUACAAAUUUGUGAAGUGUUCCAUAUAUUU